Molecule: ribosomal RNA, 478 nt
Filed under: uncultured bacterium
Lineage: Bacteria
Description: partial 16S ribosomal RNA
Rfam family: Bacterial small subunit ribosomal RNA
Source: RNAcentral
GAUGAACGCUGGCGGCGUGCUUAACACAUGCAAGUCGAACGGAAAGGCCUCAGCUUGCUGGGGUACUCGAGUGGCGAACGGGUGAGUAACACGUGGGUGAUCUGCCCUGCACUUUGGGAUAAGCUUGGGAAACUGGGUCUAAUACCGAAUAUGACCACUUCUUGGAUGUUGUGGUGGAAAGCUCUUGCGGUGUGGGAUGAGCCUGCGGCCUAUCAGCUUGUUGGUGGGGUAAUGGCCUACCAAGGCGGCGACGGGUAUCCGGCCUGAGAGGGUGUACGGACACAUUGGGACUGAGAUACGGCCCAGACUCCUACGGGAGGCAGCAGUGGGGAAUAUUGCACAAUGGGCGCAAGCCUGAUGCAGCGACGCCGCGUGGGGGAUGAAGGCCUUCGGGUUGUAAACUUCUUUUAUGGGGGAAGAGUAAGGACGGUACCCCAGGAAUAAGUCACGGCUAACUACGUGCCAGCAGCCGCCGUAA